This 358-nucleotide small nuclear RNA is filed under the name Heterocephalus glaber (naked mole-rat). RNAcentral describes it as "7SK RNA". It matches the Rfam family "7SK RNA", at positions 1 to 282 of the family's 331-position model. Rfam says of the family: 7SK was discovered as an abundant small nuclear RNA in the mid-70s but a possible function has only recently been suggested. Two independent studies have found that 7SK RNA binds the CDK9/cyclin T complex (known as elongation factor P-TEFb). P-TEFb activates transcription by phosphorylating the C-terminal domain of RNA polymerase II. Lineage: Eukaryota; Metazoa; Chordata; Mammalia; Rodentia; Bathyergidae. The record is from Rfam by way of RNAcentral.
GGAUGUGAGGGCGAUCUGGCUGCGACAUCUGUCACCCCAGUGAUCACCAGGGUUGAUUCCGCUGAUCUGGCUGGCCAGGUGGGGGUCCCCUUCCUCCCUCACCGCUCCAUGUGCGUCCCUCCCUAGUAUCCGAGGAGCUACACUCCCCUGCUAGAACCUCCAAACAAGCUCUCAGGGUCCCCUUCUCCCUCACCGCUCCAUGUGCGUCCCUCCCUAGUAUCCGAGGAGCUACACUCCCCUGCUAGAACCUCCAAACAAGCUCUCACAUAACAUAGCCAAUAUCAGCCACGCUUAAUAGCAGAACCAUCUGUGAUAGGGAAAAAUUUUAAAGUAAGUUUAGUAGAUUAGCUAUUUAGUU